RNAcentral lists this long non-coding RNA (233 nucleotides) under Lathyrus oleraceus (garden pea). RNAcentral's name for it is "Pisum sativum (pea) long non-coding RNA (PSAT_LNC025586)". The record is from RNAcentral. Lineage: Eukaryota; Viridiplantae; Streptophyta; Magnoliopsida; Fabales; Fabaceae.
AGAUAGGAUGAUAUUGAGAAGAUAAUGGAGAAGAGAUGAUAGAAUGAAAUUGAGAAAUUAAUGGAGAAGAGAUGUGAAUCAUGGAUCAUGGAAUGGACGGGAAAUACUUGAUUUUGGAUCAAGUAUUCGCGUUGCAAUGGUGUGAGUUUUAUUUGGAAAACAACUUGACGUUGGAUCAAGUAUCUUUUAUUUCUUUUGAAAUGCUUUAUUUAUCGUUUUGGUUUUAUCUUUUA